RNAcentral lists this unclassified non-coding RNA (353 nucleotides) under soil metagenome. Its description in RNAcentral is "partial contains 5.8S ribosomal RNA, internal transcribed spacer 2, and large subunit ribosomal RNA". The stretch from base 5 to 121 matches the Rfam family "5.8S ribosomal RNA", at positions 38 to 154 of the family's 154-position model. The record is from RNAcentral.
GAUGGAAGAACGCAGCGAAAUGCGAUAAGUAAUGUGAAUUGCAGAAUUCAGUGAAUCAUCGAAUCUUUGAACGCACAUUGCGCCCGCCAGUAUUCUGGCGGGCAUGCCUGUUCGAGCGUCAUUACAACCCUCAGGCCCCCGGGCCUGGCGUUGGGGAUCGGCGGAGCCCCCCGUGGGCACACGCCGUCCCCCAAAUGCAGUGGCGGUCCCGCCGCAGCUUCCAUCGCGUAGUAGCUAACACCUCGCGACUGGAGAGCGGCGCGGCCACGCCGUAAAACACCCAACUCUUCUGAAGUUGACCUCGAAUCAGGUAGGAAUACCCGCUGAACUUAAGCAUAUCAAUAAGCGGAGGA